This 221-nucleotide ribosomal RNA is filed under the name uncultured Pseudomonas sp. Its description in RNAcentral is "partial 16S ribosomal RNA". It matches the Rfam family "Bacterial small subunit ribosomal RNA", at positions 1159 to 1381 of the family's 1533-position model. The record is from RNAcentral. Lineage: Bacteria; Pseudomonadati; Pseudomonadota; Gammaproteobacteria; Pseudomonadales; Pseudomonadaceae.
CAAACCGGAGGAAGUGGGGAUGACGUCAAGUCAUCAUGGCCCUUACGGCCUGGGCUACACACGUGCUACAAUGGUCGGUACAAAGGGUUGCCAAGCCGCGAGGUGGAGCUAAUCCCAUAAACCGAUCGUAGUCCGGAUCGCAGUCUGCAACUCGACUGCGUGAAGUCGGAAUCGCUAGUAAUCGUGAAUCAGAAUGUCACGGUGAAUACGUUCCCGGCCUU